RNAcentral lists this long non-coding RNA (1286 nucleotides) under Struthio camelus australis. Its description in RNAcentral is "lncRNA (ENSSCUG00000018117.1)". The record is from RNAcentral. Lineage: Eukaryota; Metazoa; Chordata; Aves; Struthioniformes; Struthionidae.
GGGUUGACGCGCGACGGUUGCAUUGCACAGGUCGAGGUGGAACGGUUGCAUUGCAUGGUUUGAGGUGUGACGGUUGUGUUGCAAGGGUUGAGACAAUGGUUGCACUGCACAGGCUGAGGCGUGACGGUUGCAUUGCAUGGGUUGAAGUGCAGUGUUGCAUUGUAAGGGUUGAGAUGACGGCUGCGCUGCACGGGUUGACACACGACAGUUACAUUACAUGGGUCGAGGUGUGACGCUUGCGUUGCAUGGGUUGAGACAAUGGUUGCACUGCACAGGUUGAGGUGUGAUGGUUGCAUUGCAUGAGUUGAGGGAUGACGGUUGCGUUGCAUGGGUUGAAGUGCGGCAUUGUGUUGUAAGGUUGAGACGAUGGUUGCGUUGCACGGGUUGAGGCACGACAGUUGUGUUGCAUGGGUUGAAGCGCGGCAGUUGUGUUGUAAGGGUUGAGACGACGGUUGCGUUGCACAGGUUGAGGCGCGAUGGUUGUGUUGUAUGGGUUGAAGCGACAUUUGUGCUGCACAGGUUGAGGCACAACGGUUGCAUUGCACAGUUUGGCAUGUGCCAGUUGUGUUGCGUGGUUUGGGCUGCAACGGUUGUGUUGCACGGUUUGAGCUGUGCCAGCUGUGAUGCACGGUUUGGGGUGCGAAGGCUGUGCUGCAUGGUUGGGGGUGUGCAGCUGUGCUGCAUGGUUCAGUGUGGCUGUGCUGCAUGGUUCAGGGUGUGCCAUCUGUGCUGCAUGGUUCAGGGUGUGCGGUGCGGCUGUGUUGCACAGUACGGGGUGUGCAGCUGUGCUGCAUGGUUCGGGGUGUGCAGCUAUGCAGCAUGGUUUGGGGUGUGCCAGCUGUGCUGCAUGGUUUGGGGUGUACGACUGUGCCACACAGUUCAGGGUGUGUGGUGCAGCUGUGUUGCACGUUUUGGGGUGUGCGGCUGUUUUGCAUGGCACGGGGUGUGUGGCUGUGCUGCACUGUUCAGGCUGUGUGGCUGUGCUGCACAGUUCAGGGUGUGUGGUGCAGCUGUGUUGCACCUUUUGGGGUGUGCCGGCUGUGCUGCACGGUUCAGGGUGUGCGGUGCAGCUGUGCUGCACAGUGCAGGGUGUGUGUCUGUGCUGCACAGCGCAGGGUGUGCCGGCUGUGUUGCAUGUUUCGGGGUGUGCAGUGCGGCUGUGCUGCACGGUGCCGGGUGUGCGGCGAUACUCCGGCGGGGAACGGUGUUGGGACGCGGGGGACGUGCCGGCUGCUGUGCCAUGAGGGCUGGAGGGGGCCGACUGUCGCGGCCCCCGGGCCCGGGCA